UGCUAUAUAUGGAUAUUUGUUAGAAAAAUCGGAAGAAAACAUAUACUUUUUCGAUGGUCCAGUUGACGAGUGAAAGGAAGAAGGCAGAUUACGAAAGUGUCAAAAACAAACAAAACAAUAUACCUAUCUAGCCAGUUGACACAAAGGAGAAAAAAUAAAUAAAUUGAAUAUUUUAAGUAAUAUAUUUUGGUUGUGAAAAAAAUGUUUUUAUUUUGUUGACGUUUCAAAUUGAAGAAAAUUAUUGUCGUUUUAAUGUCCAAAGGAUCAAUGUGAAUUGAAUUAAGACAAAUGUUUUGUAGUUUUGCAAGUUUCCUAAACAUAACCUCACAUUCUGUAAGUGAAUUAUUAACGAAGUUAUUGUUAAACUGAAUAUGUGAAGGAUUUGUAUUGUAUUUCAGAAGCCCUGAAGAAGAAUUAAAUAAAUUCGAAAGCUUGGCAAGGAAUAAAGAGUUUUCUUUUAUUCUCCAAAAUAAUCGAGUCGUUUGACCCUUAUCAAUAGUUCACAGUUAUACACUAAAGACUCUUAAAAAUAAGUUUGAAGUUUAAUCAAUAAAAUGGGUUUCUUCGAAGAAAUAUCUCACAAUUAUGGUCCUGAAACAACGAAGGAACUGAAAUUAUGGAGUACAAACAACAGGAAAUUAGCUGCAGCUCUAAACAGGCGAAUAUUUCUUUUGGAGUGUAAGCGACAGGGACUUAUACCAAAACAUAUAACAUCAAAUGUUAAAAGUAUAAUGGGAUUAUUUGAGUAUAAUAAUCAACGAUUGAAUCGAAAAAUACGCGAAUUCAAUGAUUCAACAAGCAAAAAAAUAAUAAACCUAGAACUGUGUCAGGUUAAUCACAAAAUAAAAAGACUGGAAUUACUCAACACCCAGAUAAGACAGAGUUUACAACAUUUACCAGAAUAUAUGCUUAUACAGUAUCAAGACCGACUGAAAUGCUCGUUCAACAAAGAGUUCCACAAGAUUAAAAUGACAAAUUUAAAGAAAAUCAACAACCUCAAGACAACCAGCAUUCCGAACGUAACAACUCAAGAUAGAUGGAUAAAAAAUUUAUCUGACAAAGAAAUACCAAAUACAGUCAAAAGUCUGUUAUCAUUAGGAUCCAAAUUCAGUGUAACAACUACAAAAAAAGAUAUAAACAUUGAUCGCAUAAUAGCAGAUACAGAAUAUAUCCUAGAAGCAAUACCAGAUGGAAGAAAAAAUGUACAGAGAGCGAAAGUCACAAAUGCAGUCACAAAUUAUAUACAUAGACCUAUAGAAGAAAAUUCUCUGAUACAAAAAUGGUAUAAGGACACCAAAUGGUUUUUAAAAGAAAACAAUGAUUUAAUUAUAUUGAAUAGUGACAAGGGUGCAGUGACAGUUGUAAUGAAUGAAAAAAUGUAUAAUGAAAAAAUUCAAUCUAUUUUAGAAUCCAAAGAUUUCAAGAGACUACCCAGAGAUCCCACACAGACAUUACAAACAAAAUGUAAUAAAUAUAUUGACAAACUAGGCGAACUGAAAUACAUAACAAAAGAACAAAUGAAGCAAAUGAAAACAUACAACUCUGUUGCGCCAAGAAUUUACGGGAAUCCAAAAGUUCAUAAAGAUGGUUAUCCCAUGAGGCCAAUAAUAUCAAGUAUAAAUAGUCCAAUGAAUUCCUUAUCUAAAUUCAUUGCUGACAUUUUGAAAACCGCAUAUGAUGAAGAAAACCAAUAUUAUGUCAAAGAUACAUUCCACUUUGCAACAACAGUUAACAAUUUCAAAUUACCAGAAAACUACACACUAAUCUCCCUAGACUUCAUAAAUUUAUUCGGUAAUCUGGACAAAAAUGACAUUAUUGAAGUCCUGAAACAAAAAUGGGACAUAAUUAAAGAACAUACAAACAUCAAUAUGGAGCUGUUUAUGGAAAUUAUUUUGUUUAUAUUGAAUAACAACUACUGCGUGUUCAAAGAAAAAUAUUACCUUCAAAUAUUUGGAUGUGCUAUGGGUUCUAAACUAAGUCCAAGACUAGCCCAAUAUGUCAUGGAUCACUUGGUAAAAUCAUGUGUGGAAAAGUUACCAUUUAAUAUACCCAUUUUAAAAAAAUUCGUAGACGACUUAUUAUUGACUGUACCAAAAACACAUAUACAGACUACGUUGAAGUGUUUUAACUCUUAUUCCAAAAACUUACAAUUCACUUUGGAAGUAGAAAACUUGGAACAAUGUGUACCUUUCUUAGACACAAAAGUACAAAGACAAGAUGAUGUUAUAAAGUUAAAAUGGCAUAGAAAAGAAACCCACUCAAACAAAAUGAUCCAUUAUAAUUCAGACCAUAACAUAAAUAUAAAAAUUAACAUGAUAAAACAAAUGAAAAAUAGAAUAAGAAGAAUAUGUCAUGAGUCUUACAUACAGGAGGGAAUACAAAAUUUAUUGGAGAUACUAAGACAGAACGGAUAUCCCUAUGGAAUGUUGAAGAAAUUAUUGUAUGCAAGUGACACCACAGAAGCACCACAACUAAUAAGAAGCGAGGAAGUAACAGAGGAAAUUCAUUAUGCAUCAUACCCAAAUAUACAUGGAUUAACAAAAAAACUAAUAAAUAUAUUUAAACAUGAAAAAGUGAAAAUUGCUAUUUAUAAUAAAAAAACUGUGGGCAAUUUAUAUACAAAAUUAAAAGAUCCUAUUCAAACACUAUUAAAAAGCAACGUAGUCUAUGAAGUAAAAUGUGAAGAUUGCGAAAAAAUAUACAUAGGACAUACAUCUCAAUGGUUGAAAAGCAGAUUGGCAUUACACAAAUCAGAUAUUGCAAAACAUCCGGAUAGAUGCGCACUAGCAACCCAUGCAUUCAAUUUAAAUCAUAAAAUAAAUUUCGAAGAAGCAAAGGUGUUAAAAACGGAAAAAAAUUACAAAAAAAGGUUGAUAUUGGAAAUGAUAGAGAUAAAUAAACAGGAAAAUAUUAUUAACAAAAAAACAGACACAAAUAAGUUGAGUGCUAUAUAUGGAUAUUUGUUAGAAAAAUCGGAAGAAAACAUAUACUUUUUCGAUGGUCCAGUUGACGAGUGAAAGGAAGAAGGCAGAUUACGAAAGUGUCAAAAACAAACAAAACAAUAUACCUAUCUAGCCAGUUGACACAAAGGAGAAAAAAUAAAUAAAUUGAAUAUUUUAAGUAAUAUAUUUUGGUUGUGAAAAAAAUGUUUUUAUUUUGUUGACGUUUCAAAUUGAAGAAAAUUAUUGUCGUUUUAAUGUCCAAAGGAUCAAUGUGAAUUGAAUUAAGACAAAUGUUUUGUAGUUUUGCAAGUUUCCUAAACAUAACCUCACAUUCUAAGCCCUGAAGAAGAAUUAAAUAAAUUCGAAAGCUUG
Harmonia axyridis is the source of this 3314-nucleotide RNA transcript. RefSeq lists it as uncharacterized. The record is from RefSeq and is a predicted model, not a curated record. The transcript has 2 exons. Lineage: Eukaryota; Metazoa; Arthropoda; Insecta; Coleoptera; Coccinellidae.